CAGAACCAAACCUCGAAUAAAACCAAAGAGACACUGAUGUGAAAGACAACUCCAACAUUUCUUUCCCUGGAUUGUCCCAAGUCAUUGCAUUGCUGAGAAUAGCCAAGUUUUCACAGAUUGUGUAUUUUUUAUUGUCUCAUUAAUAUUCUUUUCUUUUGUUUGCAUUUCAGCAGGUAUCCACCAAAAUCUUCUGCCAAUCCCACUCCCUUGACCGCUUGAAAUAACUCCUUAGAUUUCAGCACAACAAGCAGUGGCUGUGUCUGAGAAUAUAUGACUUAUUCUGAACCCCUGGUGGAAAGAAAUGGGCAUCGUGGCUCAUCAUCCCUUUCCUGCAGAAGUGAUGAAAAGGAAGUGAAAACCAUGGACCUGAUGCUAUCAGACUGCCAAUGGAAAAAGGCUGCUCCUCACCAUGUGGUAUCUAAAUGGAUAAUUAAAAACAACAAACAACAACAACAACAACAAAAACCAACCCCAAAGAACUUUGAAGAGACUAGAGGCUAUAUUCUAAGGCAUUUCAGACUCCAAUGGUUUAUAAAAACUCUCUGUAUUUCUAUUGCAUUUCCUGAUUGUUUUAAUAUAUAACUUUGUGAUUUUAAAUUUAUAUAUUACUGAAUUCAAUAUUAUUCUGUUAUACUGUUCAUUUAAUGUACUGAGUUUUAAAAUUCUACUGCUUUUCCCCUAUAACCAUAUAUUGAUUAAAUACGCCCAUAUUAAAAAAAAACAGCUUUUUUUCUAUUUUUGCUUUUGUAAAUUGUCAUAUAGAGCAUAGAUGGACAUCAGAACUGGUUACAAUUGUAUAACAACCUUUGGAAAAUUUUAUGUGCUAAAUAUCUCAACUGAUUUUAAGGGUUUUUUAAAUAUGAUUUUUGGAUAUUUUUUUAACAAUCUCUGGCUAUUUUUGCCUACCCCUACCACGAGGUAUAAGGCCCAUUCUAGUAGCUGAAGUGAAAUACAAUUAUAACCCCCAACCUUCCUGCAUUUCUAAAUAUGUGAAUGGAAGUUGGGCGGUUAAUCUCAGGGCAUUUGUACCCCUAAAAGGCCUCCAAAAAAAGGAGCACCUCUCAUUUAUACUCUUCAGCUCACUAUUUUACUUCCACCAGAAUUAUAUCUAUAUUUCUUGAUUAUGUUCUUAACCCAACAUGAGUUUUACUUUGUUUAAAAAUAUGUUUAUACACCAAGGUUGAAAGAUUGCUAUGAUUGUAAAAAAUUGUGACAAAUAUCCAUCAAUUCAUAGGUUUUUAAAUGCCAUACAGCAACUCCUGUAAAUAUGAUAGUGUGUUUGUUUGCUAUUGUAAUUAAUUGGGCUAUUGAGAAUUUUGGGGAUGUUGAUACUACAUAUUUGUACUACUAUUCUUUAAAAAUGAAAAAUGUUACCUUGCUCAAUUCAUUUGCCUUAUACUCACAGUGAUCAUGGCCAGAUACAAAUAGGAAAUGGAUUUCAUUUUUGGUGAGAAAGCCUUGUAUGCUAUUUUUUUUAGCUGAAACAGUGUGUCAAUGAUUAUAAGCUAUAUUUUUGAAUUUUUAAAACUUUUAUUAUAUUUUCUUGCAUGUGCAAUAUAUUAUUUCAGUGUUUUUUUAUUUUUUCUCUCCUUUUUAUAUUUGAAGCACAUGCCACCAGCAUUAAGAUUUUCUUUAACUUUUUGACUUUUCAUUACUGUAAGUUUAAGAUGCAUUUGCCAAUGCAUACCCCAAAAAGCUUGUGACUAUAAAAAUGAUGCCACUAAUUAUUUAAAAAAUUAUGGGACGUUGCUUAAGGAUUCUGUCUGAUUCCAGGACAAGAUAUACACCCAAGAGCCAUUGAACAGAGCCAAAGAAAAGCCAAUCCAGGAUGGAUUAAUGCAAUUCUAGGCCAAUACAAAGGUCUUGAACCUAGUGUGAAGACUCCAGGUUACUAUGUUUAACAUGUUGUUAAGACAUAGGCUUUCCUUGUGUCCACACUCACUCUGAAGAUACUCACAGACGAGUAUCCCCAAAACCUUGGCUCAUAUAAUCUGGUCCCCUUUUCUGCCUUUCAUAGUGUGGUAACUUUCUGUAGUCCUGGCUACUGACUGGGUAAAUGCAUCAUUGCUUAGAUCGUUUUUAUUGGGCCCUGAUUCAAGGACCUGUUAUAGAUUUAUUUUUCUUUUACUUAGAAUUUUUUUCACAUAAGACUUUGAUAGUCUAUAUUUUCAUCCAGAGUUUUUUCUUUUUAUUUGGAUUUUUCUGAUAUCUUUUUAAUAUCUCUUGCCAAUUGAUUCAUAUACCUCAUAUCUCAGCCAUGCAUCCAUAAGUGAUCCUUUUCAAUCACCCUCUUAACGGGGGAAAUGUAAACAUAUCAUUAUUUAAAUUGGAAAGUUUAAAUUCCUUUUGAGAAGAAUUUUAGGUAAAGAAGAUGCUAUCUCUCUGAAUCUAGAACUGAACUGUUGGAGAAGAUACCAUGAAGAAGCCUCCAGACCAGCCAGCUGCACAAGAUCAAAAUGAACUUUGGGUGUAGUUGAUUGAACAUUUAUUUGUAUGUAUACUUUCAUGCCAAAGGGGACUGCCCUCUAACUGGCUUUUUGUCAAUGUGUUCAGCAAUUAUUGGUUUUGUUCUUUUUUUUUCUCUUAUCUUCACAUUAUUGUAAUCUUUUAAGUUGAUUAUGUUUUUAUGAUCCUUUUGGGAAAAAAAUUAAUUUUUCCAAAUAUGAUCAAACGGGGAAAUGUAAAAAAUGAACUUGAACUCUGGACUUCAAUCCCCACAAGCCCUUGCUCCACUUCCCCAAAAUGCUUUGUAAUCUCACUGAAUUCUCAGGUGGGCUGAGAUCAAGAAGGGAUUUAACCUGAUUGCAAAGGCUUUUGUGUCUCUUUUGGACUUCCGUUUUGGAGCAGACGCGGCUCUUCCAUGAUGUGAGAUUAUCUUCCUUAUCUUGUAUUUUCUUUAAUCCUUAACUUUAAUAAACCCCAUAAAAUAUAAUACUCCUUGCA
This is a long non-coding RNA of Monodelphis domestica (gray short-tailed opossum), 2943 nucleotides long. Lineage: Eukaryota; Metazoa; Chordata; Mammalia; Didelphimorphia; Didelphidae. The record is from Ensembl.